This is a non-coding RNA of Cinara cedri, 236 nucleotides long. The record is from the annotation of a GenBank genome assembly. Lineage: Eukaryota; Metazoa; Arthropoda; Insecta; Hemiptera; Aphididae.
AUACUUCAAUUUUUGAAAAAGCUAAAAUCAAAAAACUGAACAUUUGAAAAAUUAGAUUUCAAGCAUAAAUUUGAAGGAAUCCAUAGAAUUCAUUCUCAAAAUUAGUAUAAUUUCAGUUACAUUAGAAAUAAAACACGUUUAAAUAUUCUUUUUUAUAUUUUCGUCAAAAUUUGAACUAAACAAAUUUCGAUAUAAAUCGUAAAAAUCACAGCAUUUCAUACCAUAUUUAAUUAAAC